RNAcentral lists this ribosomal RNA (252 nucleotides) under uncultured bacterium. Its description in RNAcentral is "partial 16S ribosomal RNA". It matches the Rfam family "Bacterial small subunit ribosomal RNA", at positions 524 to 776 of the family's 1533-position model. The record is from RNAcentral.
UACGUAGGGUGCAAGCGUUGUCCGGAAUUAUUGGGCGUAAAGAGCUCGUAGGCGGUUUGUCGCGUCGGCUGUGAAAACUCGGGGCUCAACCCCGAGCCUGCAGUCGAUACGGGCAGACUAGAGUGCUGUAGGGGAGACUGGAAUUCCUGGUGUAGCGGUGAAAUGCGCAGAUAUCAGGAGGAACACCGGUGGCGAAGGCGGGUCUCUGGGCAGUAAUGACGCUGAGGAGCGAAAGCGUGGGGAGCGAACAGG